GUCCCGAUGGUGAAACGGAGGAUCAUGCCUCGGUCCUAACGAGGAGUUCCGGGUUCGAGUCCUGGUCGGGGCA
Molecule: transfer RNA, 73 nt
Filed under: Isosphaeraceae bacterium
Lineage: Bacteria; Pseudomonadati; Planctomycetota; Planctomycetia; Isosphaerales; Isosphaeraceae
Description: tRNA-Arg
Rfam family: tRNA
About the family: Transfer RNA (tRNA) molecules are approximately 80 nucleotides in length.
Source: RNAcentral